UACAUACACACACAAGACUACCUCUGAACCAAGACAAGUAUUUCAAUGGUAACAAUCAGUGCCACCUGCUGACCAUUUGGCACCAAAUUGGGAGAUUUUAUGCUACUGGAAGCUUUUGCAUUGUUACACUCUUUACUGAGUUUUACCAGUAAAAUGUCCUUGUAACUGUUAUUUUAGAAUUUUUUGCUGGAGUGACUGGAGCUGAGCUGUUUGAUGUUGUUGUCAGCGAUGGUUAUUAGUUUGACGAAAGAUGCUUUUAAUUUUAAUUUAAUUUAAUUCACCCAAACGUCAUGUCAAAUUAGUCCUACUUAAGAAAGUCAAGAACUACACAGUUUUGUUCAACGGGUGGAUUUAAACAUCCAUCUGAAGCCUUACUAUUAGUUGGAUAUAAGUCAUAGUCAAAGUCUAUCUUUGUUAAAAACAGCCCCAGAUCAUAACUGCCGUAAUAGUGUGUACUAAUGUGCAAUUCUUUUCCUGUAUAAUUCCACAGAUGCCUUUUGUUUCAUCUCACAUGUAGUAGGGGAGUAAAAGCGAACGAUGAAAGGCUGCCUGGAGAAAACAUCAGUUUCAUUGGUCCCUUCUCCUUCUAGUUUACGGUACUGAUAAUGCUCCUUGACCUGCAGCACAUUGUUCCUGGAGAAGACAACAGAGGAAAAAGACGACGUUAAGGAUACCAUGUUUAGCUGACCAUUAACAGCAAUGUGUUCUGUGUGACAUGGGUUACCUGUAUAUGUAGACAUACUGCUCCUUGUAGGUCUUCCUCCCCAGCCUUUCACUUUCCACAUAGGAGUAUGAGUUGGAUUUGUCAAAUCUGGUGACAUCAGCAUAAAUGAGAUAAAUUGAAGGUGAUGAUUGGAUGCCGUUUAACGUCACAAAGGAUUCACCAGAUGCUUCAAUCUGCGUUUUUUAAACCCAUGAAAGCUUGUACCUGUUAAGCUCCUUAACCAAAGCUUGAAUUGCUUUUCCUUUAGAGUCCCGGACUUCCUGAAUAAGACACAAGUCACACCGAGAAAGAAUCUUGGGAGCAAAAGGAAAAAAGUUGUCAGCUCUGAACAUUGAAAGCGCAGAUUUUCAGGGAGGAUGUGACAUUCCACACACACAACCCCACAACAACCAGCAGAACUACAGUCCUCAUCUCGCAGAGGGUUAUCGCUCUCCUCUUACCUUCGGUGCCAGUUUCACCAGGAGACUGACCCCAGUCCAGCAAAGAUCCAUCUCUUCAAUGGCCUGUGGUGUGUUUUGGGGAACAUGCAGGUAAACGUGGGUGAAAGACAGGGGCUGUGGAUCUGUGUGGUGGAUGUGCUGUGUCAGUGCCUGUUGAGAAUGGAGCUUUAUCUGGAACAGUUAAAACCACUGAAUACAAUGAACAAUUGUGUUUUGUCUGUAAGUUUGAGUGUAAUCGGACAAUAGAAGGUUGCCAUGUGUCAUGUCUGUUUGUUUCAUGAACAUUUGUGUAGAAUUUACGACAUUUCGUUCUGUCAUUUGAGCACAGACACGAGCAGCUGGUAGUUACCAUAGUGCUGCGCAUUGCAUUACUGAGACAACUGAUGCUGAUAUAAGCCAGAGAAACCAAAAUAAAAGAUAUAAUUUCAAAUCUAUAUUUAAAACUGCACACUUCUCAUGCUAUAGUAGCUCUUCUCAUGAAACGUGUUGCCAAUGUACUAAUGAUGAAAGUAUAAAUCAGUAUGGAUACACUUGACAAAAGCAAAUAUUGUACUUUUUACUUCACUACAUUGAUUUGACAGCUGUAAUUACUUUGCAAGUUAAGAGUUUACAUGUAAAACAUGAGGAAUUCUUCAAAUACAUUGCAUUUUUAUAGAUUAAACUGUCCAGCAGUAUAGUAUAUAGUAGUUAAAAUUUGUUCCAGUUCAACUGGCUACAAUAUUAAUCUGCUGCUUAUAUGCACAUGUAUCCAUCAGUAAUGAUAAUGAUGUAAUACUUAAGAUUCUAAAUUCAGAACUUUUAAUUGUAAUUGAGUAUUUUCACAGUGUAGAUUUGCUACUUUUACCUAAGUAAAGGAUCUCAAAAUGUCUUCCAACAA
This is a long non-coding RNA of Micropterus salmoides (largemouth bass), 2041 nucleotides long. RefSeq lists it as uncharacterized. The record is from RefSeq and is a predicted model, not a curated record. The transcript is spliced from 3 exons. Lineage: Eukaryota; Metazoa; Chordata; Actinopteri; Centrarchiformes; Centrarchidae.